UACGUAGGGGGCAAGCGUUGUCCGGAAUCAUUGGGCGUAAAGAGCGUGUAGGCGGUUCGGUAAGUCGGCUGUGAAAGUCCAGGGCUCAACCCUGGGAUGCCGGUCGAUACUGCCGGACUAGAGUUCGGAAGAGGCGAGUGGAAUUCCCGGUGUAGCGGUGAAAUGCGCAGAUAUCGGGAGGAACACCUAUGGCGAAGGCAGCUCGCUGGGACGUUACUGACGCUGAGGCGCGAAAGCUAGGGGAGCAAACGGG
RNAcentral lists this ribosomal RNA (253 nucleotides) under uncultured bacterium. Its description in RNAcentral is "partial 16S ribosomal RNA". It matches the Rfam family "Bacterial small subunit ribosomal RNA", at positions 524 to 776 of the family's 1533-position model. The record is from RNAcentral.